This 879-nucleotide long non-coding RNA is filed under the name Nicotiana tabacum (common tobacco). RNAcentral describes it as "long non-coding RNA (NTAB_LNC015929)". Lineage: Eukaryota; Viridiplantae; Streptophyta; Magnoliopsida; Solanales; Solanaceae. The record is from RNAcentral.
CUACUAAACAAUAUGAGCGAUAUAACUAAUCCUCUAGAAGAAAUUCCGUCUAUUUAACCCCCCAGAAGAGGUUUCUUCUGUUGCACUCCUAGAAGAAGCUCCUUCAGCUUCCCGUGAGAAUGGUAAGAAAGCUCAAUAACCACAUAAAGGCAAGAAAGGGCAGGUACGGAGCCCCUUGUAUUGGUGAAACGGACGGAAGUCAAGACUUGGGAGUUGAAGAGUCUUGACUAGGACCGCUUCAUCCAUUCGAAAUAAGUGCAACCAGAAGAUUAUGCACCCAGAGCAGAUCAAGUACUUCUGGUCCCAAACUCAACUGUACUUGGAACCCUCAUAAGAUAGUAGUCUUCAUCUAUUGUGCUAUUAUAGUUUCCGUGGAGAGAAUCUCACACCUUACUAACCGCAUACCUAACAUGCAGUAUAGGAACUCGAAACAGUCUCAUCCUCUCUAGGUUAUAAGUAACCUAUUCUAUUAAUUUAUAUUAUAUAUCUAAUGACAGUUAACAAUUUGUGACAAUCAAUGGUGUUCUUAUUUUAUCAAUUAGCAAGAUUAUAUUUCUCUCUUACUGGAUUGUAAUUCAUUUCAACACAGCUACAUCCAUUUUCCAACGAUUAAUAAGAUUUCUCUUAUCUUAAUCUUUGUUCUAUCAAUCAUUAUUGUUCUUCAAUUUUCUAUAUGCGAUUGAGAUUAAUACGCUUGGUAGUGGUCUUAAAAAUAAAUUCAAUUAUUUAUUUUAAAAUCAAUUUUUGUUAAACAGUGACACCCCUAGCGGGACCCUAGGAUUGAGUGUUUGAUCCAAUGUCACACUGCUUCCUUUUAUGUUUCUAUUAUACUCAUGUAUUGAUUAUUUAUUUAUUUAAGGAAACACCAUAUGUGAGAUC